This 491-nucleotide ribosomal RNA is filed under the name uncultured bacterium. RNAcentral describes it as "partial 16S ribosomal RNA". It matches the Rfam family "Bacterial small subunit ribosomal RNA", at positions 29 to 506 of the family's 1533-position model. The record is from RNAcentral.
AGUGAACGCUGGCGGUAGGCCUAACACAUGCCAGUCGAACGGCAGCACAGUAAGAGCUUGCUCUUACGGGUGGCGAGUGGCGGACGGGUGAGGAAUACAUCGGAAUCUACUUUUUCGUGGGGGAUAACGUAGGGAAACUUACGCUAAUACCGCAUACGACCUACGGGUGAAGGCAGGGGAUCUUCGGGCCUUGCGCGAUUGAAUGAGCCGAUGUCGGAUUAGCUAGUUGGCGGGGUAAAGGCCCACCAAGGCGACGAUCCGUAGCUGGUCUGAGAGGAUGAUCAGCCACACUGGAACUGGGACACGGUCCAGACUCCAACGGAGGGCAGCAGUGGGGAAUAUUGGACAAUGGGCGCAGGCCUGAUCCAGCCAUACCGCGUGGGUGAAGAAGGCCUUCGGGUUGUAAAGCCCUUUUGUUGGGAAAGAAAAGCAGCAGGUUAAUACCCCGCUGUUCUGACGGUACCCAAAGAAUAAGCACCGGCUAACUUCGG